UUUUCAUUGUAGCCGAGAUUCAUGAAUUUCAUGAAUGCGGGGGACCCGGAUAUUUGGGGCGAAUUCCGGCUAAGGAUAGGGUACUUCCAGGCCCGAGCCCGUCAGCUAACCUCGUAGGCGUAUGGAAGGGCAUUU
Molecule: small RNA, 135 nt
Filed under: Spirochaetota bacterium
Lineage: Bacteria; Pseudomonadati; Spirochaetota
Description: Spirochaetes bacterium c-di-AMP sequence
Rfam family: c-di-AMP riboswitch aptamer (ydaO/yuaA leader)
About the family: This family represents a conserved RNA structure found upstream of the ydaO and yuaA genes in Bacillus subtilis and related genes in other bacteria.
Source: RNAcentral